UACGUAGGGUGCGAGCGUUGUCCGGAAUUAUUGGGCGUAAAGAGCUCGUAGGCGGUCUGUCGCGUCGAUCGUGAAAACUUGGGGCUUAACCCUGAGCUUGCGGUCGAUACGGGCAUGACUGGAGUUCGGCAGGGGAGACUGGAAUUCCUGGUGUAGCGGUGAAAUGCGCAGAUAUCAGGAGGAACACCAGUGGCGAAGGCGGUGCUCUGGGCCGGAACUGACGCUGAGGAGCGAAAGCGUGGGGAGCAAACAGG
RNAcentral lists this ribosomal RNA (254 nucleotides) under uncultured bacterium. RNAcentral describes it as "partial 16S ribosomal RNA". It matches the Rfam family "Bacterial small subunit ribosomal RNA", at positions 524 to 776 of the family's 1533-position model. The record is from RNAcentral.